This 476-nucleotide ribosomal RNA is filed under the name uncultured soil bacterium. RNAcentral describes it as "bacterial SSU rRNA". It matches the Rfam family "Bacterial small subunit ribosomal RNA", at positions 26 to 518 of the family's 1533-position model. The record is from RNAcentral.
AGGACGAACGCUGGCGGCGUGCUUAACACAUGCAAGUCGAGCGGUAAGGCCUUUCGGGGUACACGAGCGGCGAACGGGUGAGUAACACGUGGGUGAUCUGCCCUGCACUUCGGGAUAAGCCUGGGAAACUGGGUCUAAUACCGGAUAUGACCUCCUAUCGCAUGGUGGGUGGUGGAAAGAUUUAUCGGUGCAGGAUGGGCCCGCGGCCUAUCAGCUUGUUGGUGGGGUAAUGGCCUACCAAGGCGACGACGGGUAGCCGACCUGAGAGGGUGACCGGCCACACUGGGACUGAGACACGGCCCAGACUCCUACGGGAGGCAGCAGUGGGGAAUAUUGCACAAUGGGCGAAAGCCUGAUGCAGCGACGCCGCGUGAGGAUGACGGCCUUCGGGUUGUAAACCUCUUUCAGCAGGACGAAGCGCAAGUGACGGUACCUGCAGAAGAAGCACCGGCUAACGUACGUGACCAGCAGCCGAC